Molecule: non-coding RNA, 24 nt
Filed under: Mus musculus (house mouse)
Lineage: Eukaryota; Metazoa; Chordata; Mammalia; Rodentia; Muridae
Source: RNAcentral
GAAAUAGGUGCUGCCUCUUGUGAA